RNAcentral lists this unclassified non-coding RNA (396 nucleotides) under Hevea brasiliensis (rubber tree). The record is from RNAcentral. Lineage: Eukaryota; Viridiplantae; Streptophyta; Magnoliopsida; Malpighiales; Euphorbiaceae.
AAAUGCAUCAUCUGUGCAGCCAGUAGUCGCAGUUGAAAGAACCGUCUUCUAUAGAGAAAGAGCUGCAGGAAUGUAUUCAGCUUUGCCUUAUGCAUAUGCGCAGGUCCUGGUUGAGCUUCCAUACGUUUUUUCACAAGUAGUUGUAUAUGGUCUUAUCACAUAUACAAUGAUCGGAUUCGAAUGGACUGCUACUAAGUUCUUUUGGUAUCUGUUCUUCACGUACUUCACAUUACUGUACUACACCUACUACGGAAUGAUGGCUGUUGCUGUGACACCAAACUACCACAUUGCAUCCAUAAUUUCUUCCGUAUUUUAUGGAAUUUGGAACCUCUUUUCAGGAUUCGUCAUCCCUAGAACUAGGAUGCUUGUGUAGUGGAGAUGGUACUACUGGGGAUG